AUUGAACGCUGGCGGCAUGCCUUACACAUGCAAGUCGAACGGCAGCACGGGUGCUGCACCUGGUGGCGAGUGGCGAACGGGUGAGUAAUACAUCGGAACGUACCUUAUCGUGGGGGAUAACGCAGCGAAAGCUGUGCUAAUACCGCAUACGCCCUGAGGGGGAAAGCGGGGGAUCGCAAGACCUCGCGCGAUUAGAGCGGCCGAUGCCUGAUUAACUAGUUGGUGGGGUAAAAGCCCACCAAGGCGACGAUCAGUAGCUGGUCUGAGAGGACGAUCAGCCACACUGGGACUGAGACACGGCCCAGACUCCUACGGGAGGCAGCAGUGGGGAAUUUUGGACAAUGGGGGCAACCCUGAUCCAGCAAUGCCGCGUGAGUGAAGAAGGCCUUCGGGUUGUAAAGCUCUUUUGUCAGGGAAGAAACACCGGCUCUAACACAGUCCGGGAAUGACGGUACCUGAAGAAUAAGCACCGGCUAACUACGUGCCAGCAGCCGCGGUAA
RNAcentral lists this ribosomal RNA (500 nucleotides) under uncultured bacterium. RNAcentral's name for it is "partial 16S ribosomal RNA". It matches the Rfam family "Bacterial small subunit ribosomal RNA", at positions 29 to 523 of the family's 1533-position model. The record is from RNAcentral.